Molecule: transfer RNA, 87 nt
Filed under: Campylobacterota bacterium
Lineage: Bacteria; Pseudomonadati; Campylobacterota
Also listed under: 1 other name
Description: Epsilonproteobacteria bacterium (hydrothermal vent metagenome) tRNA-Leu
Rfam family: tRNA
About the family: Transfer RNA (tRNA) molecules are approximately 80 nucleotides in length.
Source: RNAcentral
GCGGCAGUGGCGGAACUGGUAGACGCGCAAGGUUGAGGGCCUUGUGGCAGCAAUGCCGUGGAGGUUCGAGUCCUCUCUGCCGCACCA